GACGAACGCUGGCGGCGUGCCUAAUACAUGCAAGUUGAGCGCUGAAGGUUGGUACUUGUACCAACUGGAUGAGCAGCGAACGGGUGAGUAACGCGUGGGGAAUCUGCCUUUGAGCGGGGGACAACAUUUGGAAACGAAUGCUAAUACCGCAUAAAAACUUUAAACACAAGUUUUAAGUUUGAAAGAUGCAAUUGCAUCACUCAAAGAUGAUCCCGCGUUGUAUUAGCUAGUUGGUGAGGUAAAGGCUCACCAAGGCGAUGAUACAUAGCCGACCUGAGAGGGUGAUCGGCCACAGUGGGACGGAGACACGGCCCAAACUCCUACGGGAGGCAGCAGUAGGGAAUCUUCGGCAAUGGACGAAAGUCUGACCGAGCAACGCCGCGUGAGGGAAGAAGGUUGUCGGAUCGUAAAACUCUGUUGGUAGAGAAGAACGUUGGUGAGAGUGGAAAGCUCAUCAAGUGACGGUAACUACCCAGAAAGGGACGGCUAACUACGUG
Molecule: ribosomal RNA, 497 nt
Filed under: uncultured bacterium
Lineage: Bacteria
Description: partial 16S ribosomal RNA
Rfam family: Bacterial small subunit ribosomal RNA
Source: RNAcentral